This 253-nucleotide ribosomal RNA is filed under the name uncultured bacterium. Its description in RNAcentral is "partial 16S ribosomal RNA". It matches the Rfam family "Bacterial small subunit ribosomal RNA", at positions 524 to 776 of the family's 1533-position model. The record is from RNAcentral.
UACGUAGGUGACAAGCGUUGUCCGGAUUUACUGGGUGUAAAGGGCGCGCAGGCGGGACAUCAAGUCAGUCGUGAAAUGCCGGGGCUCAACCCCGGAGCUGCGAUUGAAACUGAAGUUCUUGAGUAUCGGAGAGGAAAGCGGAAUUCCCAGUGUAGCGGUGAAAUGCGUAGAUAUUGGGAGGAACACCAGUGGCGAAGGCGGCUUUCUGGACGACAACUGACGCUGAGGCGCGAAAGUGUGGGGAGCAAACAGG